Molecule: ribosomal RNA, 282 nt
Filed under: uncultured Streptococcus sp.
Lineage: Bacteria; Bacillati; Bacillota; Bacilli; Lactobacillales; Streptococcaceae
Description: partial 16S ribosomal RNA
Rfam family: Bacterial small subunit ribosomal RNA
Source: RNAcentral
AGAAGGUUUUCGGAUCGUAAAGCUCUGUUGUAAGAGAAGAACUAAUGUGAGAGUGGAAAGUUCACACUGUGACGGUAUCUUACCAGAAAGGGACGGCUAACUACGUGCCAGCAGCCGCGGUAAUACGUAGGUCCCGAGCGUUGUCCGGAUUUAUUGGGCGUAAAGCGAGCGCAGGCGGUUAGAUAAGUCUGAAGUUAAAGGCUGUGGCUUAACCAUAGUACGCUUUGGAAACUGUUUAACUUGAGUGCAARAGGGGAGAGUGGAAUUCCAUGUGUAGCGGUG